GGCACGGUGGCGCAUGCCUGUAGUCCCAGCCACUCGGGAGGCUGAGGUGGGAGGAUCACUUGAGCCCAGGAGUUCUGGGCUGUAGUGCGCUAUGCCCAUCGGGUGUCCGCACUAAGUUCGGCAUCAAUCUGGUGACCUCCCGGGAAUGAGGGACCACUAAGUUGCCUAAGGAGGGAAGAGGGUGUCUUGGGAAAGAGUGUAGAU
Cebus imitator (Panamanian white-faced capuchin) is the source of this 204-nucleotide long non-coding RNA. RefSeq lists it as uncharacterized. NCBI's taxonomy places the organism in Eukaryota, Metazoa, Chordata, Mammalia, Primates, Cebidae. The record is from RefSeq and is a predicted model, not a curated record. The transcript is spliced from 4 exons.